CUGAACACAAAAUGGCGACACGUGGUUAGCAUUCGUCGCCAACGAGAAAUUGGGGUCGGCCCGAAAGCUCUAGAAUGCACCCCCCUUCUUCCCCGGGGCCUUCCACCUCCGCGAGUUUUAUGACUUAAAAAACCCCACAGGCUGGUCUGAAGAGGAAGACAAACAUAAAGAUGAAGUGCUUAAUUCAAGGUCACACAAUGUCGGGGAUGGACCUCCAGAUUUCCUUACUGACCUGCAUUAUCUUGUGGAUACCUGAGUGAAUUCCACACCACCCAUUUUAUAGAUGAAACCACUGAGACAUGGAGCAACUGACUGAGUAGUCACUGCCCCACCCCUGCCUGGAGCCUCACACAUGACUCGUCUCCUCUCAGUGACCACAGGUUGGUUGAGGGGUUUAACAAGGCUAAGAAGGUGAGACGUGGUCUUGUAACACAGUGGUUAAGAAUGUGACUUUGGAGCCAGCCUGCUAGGGGCUGAAUUCUGACUCAGCCAUUUACUAACUGUGUGACCUUAGGUCACAGAAUUUUCCACACUCCUUGACGGAGGUGCUUAACCCUUAUCCAUCAGCAUUCU
Molecule: non-coding RNA, 573 nt
Filed under: Pan troglodytes (chimpanzee)
Lineage: Eukaryota; Metazoa; Chordata; Mammalia; Primates; Hominidae
Source: RNAcentral